GUGCAGCAGCCGCGGUAAUACCGGCAGCCCGAGUGAUGGCCGAUCUUAUUGGGCCUAAAGCGUCCGUAGCUGGCCGACCAAGUCUCCCGGGAAAUCCACCCGCCCAACGGGUGGGCGUCCGGUAGAAACUGGCCGGCUUGGAACCGGAAGGCUCAGAGAGUACGUCCGGGGUAGGAGUGAAAUCCCGUAAUCCCGGACGGACUACCGAUGGCGAAAGCACUCUGAGAAGACGGCUUCGACAGUGAGGGACGAAAGCUCGGGUCUCAAACCGGAUUAGAUACCCGUGUUCC
RNAcentral lists this ribosomal RNA (290 nucleotides) under uncultured bacterium. RNAcentral's name for it is "partial 16S ribosomal RNA". It matches the Rfam family "Archaeal small subunit ribosomal RNA", at positions 455 to 747 of the family's 1478-position model. The record is from RNAcentral.